Molecule: ribosomal RNA, 394 nt
Filed under: uncultured bacterium
Lineage: Bacteria
Description: bacterial SSU rRNA
Rfam family: Bacterial small subunit ribosomal RNA
Source: RNAcentral
GGGGAAUAUUGGACAAUGGGCGCAAGCCUGAUCCAGCCAUGCCGCGUGAGUGAUGAAGGCCCUAGGGUUGUAAAGCUCUUUUGUGCGGGAAGAUAAUGACGGUACCGCAAGAAUAAGCCCCGGCUAACUUCGUGCCAGCAGCCGCGGUAAUACGAAGGGGGCUAGCGUUGCUCGGAAUCACUGGGCGUAAAGGGUGCGUAGGCGGGUCUUUAAGUCAGGGGUGAAAUCCUGGAGCUCAACUCCAGAACUGCCUUUGAUACUGAGGAUCUUGAGUUCGGGAGAGGUGAGUGGAACUGCGAGUGUAGAGGUGAAAUUCGUAGAUAUUCGCAAGAACACCUGUGGCGAAGGCGGCUCACUGGCCCGAUACUGACGCUGAGGCACGAAAGCGUGGGGA